Acanthosepion pharaonis is the source of this 112-nucleotide non-coding RNA. Lineage: Eukaryota; Metazoa; Mollusca; Cephalopoda; Sepiida; Sepiidae. The record is from the annotation of a GenBank genome assembly.
UUAUGGCCAUAUCACGUUGACACAGCGGUUCCCGUACGAUCACCGAAGUUAAGGAGCGUACGUGUAGCUUGUUCAGUACCUAGAUGGGUGAUCGCUUGGGAAUCUUGGAUUU